Molecule: long non-coding RNA, 161 nt
Organism: Thalassophryne amazonica
Lineage: Eukaryota; Metazoa; Chordata; Actinopteri; Batrachoidiformes; Batrachoididae
Exons: 3
Source: RefSeq, a predicted model, not a curated record
AAGAAACCUCAAGCAGACCAGACCCAGAGGGGAGACCCACUGCUUAGGCCAUUCUAAUAGUUACAAGGUUUUUAUAGAUUGUACAAAAGUUUGUUUACAAACAGAGGAGCAACAAAAACAGAGUCCUAAAUUGAAAACACAGGAGACUCUGAUUCCAUAUU